AAGUCCCGUAACGAGCGCAACCCUCAUCUUCAGUUGCCAGCGGUUUGGCCGGGCACUCUGAAGAAACUGCCGGUGACAAGCCGGAGGAAGGCGGGGAUGACGUCAAGUCCUCAUGGCCCCUACGGGCUGGGCUACACACGUGCUACAAUGGCGGUGACAGCGGGAAGCGAAGGUGCGAGCUGGAGCGAACCCCGAAAAGCCGUCUCAGUUCGGAUUGCACUCUGCAACUCGAGUGCAUGAAGUCGGAAUCGCUAGUAAUCGCGGAUCAGCACGCCGCGGUGAAUACGUUCCCGGGCCUUGUACACACCGCCCGU
RNAcentral lists this ribosomal RNA (314 nucleotides) under uncultured soil bacterium. RNAcentral describes it as "bacterial SSU rRNA". It matches the Rfam family "Bacterial small subunit ribosomal RNA", at positions 1082 to 1397 of the family's 1533-position model. The record is from RNAcentral.